UAACCUCCAGCUCCAUCCAAGUUGCUGAAAAGGACAUGAUCUCAUUCUUUAUUAUGGUUGUGUAGUAAUCCAUGGUGAAUAUGUAUCACAUUUUCUUUAUGUAAUCCACUAUUGGUGGGCAUAUAGAUUGAUUCUAGGUCUUUGCUAUUGUGAAUAGUGCUGCAAUGAACAUACAUGUGCAUGUGUCUUUAUG
Nomascus leucogenys (northern white-cheeked gibbon) is the source of this 193-nucleotide long non-coding RNA. RefSeq lists it as uncharacterized. NCBI's taxonomy places the organism in Eukaryota, Metazoa, Chordata, Mammalia, Primates, Hylobatidae. The record is from RefSeq and is a predicted model, not a curated record. The transcript is spliced from 3 exons.